Pelobates cultripes (western spadefoot toad) is the source of this 302-nucleotide non-coding RNA. The record is from the annotation of a GenBank genome assembly. Lineage: Eukaryota; Metazoa; Chordata; Amphibia; Anura; Pelobatidae.
CUGCAUUAUUACUGUUAGAGCAUUAUGGGAUUUGUAGUCUACAACAUCUGAAAUGUGGAUGGUUGCCUUCCCCUAGUUUAUUUAGUGCAGGCUAACCUCUAAAAUGAUCUUUCUUGGAGAUGGUAUACUCUGAAUACCUGGCUGUAACGCACGAGAGUUUGCAAAAUACAUGUGUUUUCACAUCUGAGAAGGCACUCAUGAACAAGGAAUUGUAAAUAUGUGUGUUUAGCAUUCCUCUCUGAAUUUAAGCCAAAGUAGAAGAACUGUGAACAGUAUCCAACUGGUUUAAUAGAAAAUUCUGC